CAGUUUCUCCGCACGAUAAUCGAGAGAAACCGAGCGGUGUUCUUCGUGUUCUUCAUAUUCAAACGAGGAUUUGAAGAUGUUAUUGGAAUCCGAUGGAGGCGUAUGAAUAGUCAAAACGAAGAUAUCGAUGCGUAGAAUCAAGUUUAAUCAUCUGUUUGUGUGCAGAUUCAACAGGUGAAUUGUUAUUAAUUUUACAAAUUUCGAAAUAUUAUGAGUUAAAUAGUGAAUUUUUGAAAACGUGUUUGUUUGAUUGUUUGGAUGAUUCCACGUUGUAGAGCAUGUUUUUCUCGUCGUUUUGGUAUAUUAUAUGUCAAAAACGGAGUUCGAUAACAUAUAGAAAAUGAGGUUUAAUCUUCAAAAGUCAUGUUCUUGGUGUUCUUGAGUAUUGGCCGGAAAAUUUUGAAUUCUUGCCGGAGAAUCACUUCGGCUUAACCUGGGUAGAUGUUAAAGCUAUAAAAAUGCUCCUGGAGAUGAGUAGAAUAUGUGUAUAUGAUCAUUUGUGGUGUUGGAGCCGUAAUGGAGGUGCCGGAAUCUGGAAAACGGACGUCGCCGGCGUCCGUUCUUCGGAUUUUUCCGGCUGAUUCGAGAGCUUCCAGCAUGAUUUAAGAGUGUAAUCAUGUUUUUGAGUGGUUGAAGGACAGAUCUGGAGUUUUUGGGGAUGUGGGGUGGCCGGGAACGCUAGUUCCGGCGAGAGCAGGGGUGGCCGGCGGCAAAUUGCCGUUUGGCCACCCAACUUACGAAAAUGGUGAAGUUUUGAUACUGGGGUUUCAAUUCUGACGAAUUGACCCCUGUAACUUUGAAAAGUUACACUUUACACCCUUGCCAGAAACUUUCAAAAACUUACAAAAUAAACCUUUUGAUUUAAUUUUUAAAAAUUGUUUUAUUUAAUUAUUUUAAAUUCCAAAAAUAGUUUUUAAUUAUUUCUUUAUUUAAAAAUAAAUCUAAAUUGAUUUAUUAAUUAAUUUUAAUUAGUAAUUAAUUAUUUUAAUUAGUCAAUUAAUUUAAAUAUUAAUUGAUUAAUUAUUUUAAUUAAUUAUUAAUUGAUUUUAAUUGAUUAAUUAAUUGGAUUUAAUUAAUCCUUUUUGAUUUAAAAAUUCCGAAAAAUAGUUUCGAGCUUUGAAAUAUUUUUCUAAAUUAUGUUCAAGGCUCGACAAUUGUUUAUGAAUAAUUUCAAGUCCAGUUUUGAGCAUCCGGACUUGAUUAUUUAUUUGAAAAAUGAUUCUUUUAUCCGUUUUAAUUCCGAAAAAAUGUUUAAAAAUUCCAGAAAAUUCCCGAAAAAUCAUUUUUAACCCAAGAGUUGAUUUGAUAUCAAUCGGGGUGGGAAACCUUAUGUGUAAUGUGUUGUCUGCUAUUGGUUGGAUGUGUUAUGUGCCGAUAGGAGAGUGAGAAAACUGUUUUGAGCAUAACUUUUGAUCCGUAAGUCGGAAUCAAGUGAAACGAAAGAGAGACAGAAGCUUAUAAAGUCUAGUUUGAUAUAACAUAAUAAUAUGAUGGAGUCGAGAAUGUGAAUAAUUGUUGUUAAAUGUGCACAAUGUGAUUAUAUGUUAAUUGAUUGCUAUUAAUUGAUGAUUACGUGAUAUACAUGUUUAUUCAUGAUAGUAUACAUGUGUGAUAAAAGAUUUGGAUGACAUAGUGUCGUGAGUUGAUUGAUAUUGGAUAAGAAGAUAUGGAUUAUAAUGAUUGGAUUUGGUUGGUUGAUUGUUGAUUGAGAUAGGAUAACAGGUGGAUAGUCUAAUAAAUAGACGAGAUGAUGUCGGAUUUUCGAUAGGAUUCAUAUGAUAAGUGAUUGGUAAUAUGUUAUGUGGAAUAUGACUUGACUAUAUGGUAGAGUCAAAGCAUGAUUACGUGUUAAGUGAUAUGUGAUAAGUUUAAAGGGGUAUAUAAGUGGGUAUCGAUAUACGUGAUAUGUAUAUGCGAUAUAUUGUUUAGUGACUAUAGUAUUAUCUUAUUCUCGUAAAGGAUUUGGACGAGACGUGUACGCUCGAAGACGUCAGAAAGUCGGAAUGGUAUUGCAAAGCGAAUAAGGGAUGAAUCGAGUAAGCGAAGCGAUGUGGCGAAUAGAGUAUAGCUAGAGAUGGUCUAGAGAUUACGAGAUGCAUAGAUUGUGAAAGUUGAAAGAUGAGAUUGAGCUGUGAGACUGGAGUCAGAUUUAAGGCAAGUAUCCUAAACCUUUCUCUUGGAUAUAUUGCAAAUAUUCUGAUCCAUUCCUUUGGUAUAUGUUUCAAGUAUUCAUACCUUUCUUUUCAAUGUUCGAAAGUGCGAGUAUUCUGACCCAUUCUUUCUAAUCUUCAAGUUUCUAAAGAAUUUCCGUUUUACAAAUUAAUUCGAAGUUCAGAUUGUCAUUGAAGCAUGUGUUGCUCAGUGAUAGUUAGAGCUUUGAAUGAAUUGGGAUCUUCUUGAUUAUUCAACCCGCCAUUGUCAUGCUGGUUUAGCAGGCUAAAUUCAGUUGCUUAGCCGAUAAUGGAGGAUACUGAAUAGUUGAGGAUUUCCUGAACUGUGAUUUAUGAAAUGAUGGAUCAUGAUUUAUGAAUAGAUUAUUAUCAAAGUUUGAAUUGGAAUUAUUCUGUUGUUGAUGAUAUUUAUGAUGAUGUUCUGUUAAUUUACAUUGGCUUCUUGAAUUGAAUUAGAGAAUUGGAUUAUUGUUUUUAUAUAAACCUGUGGACCAGAUUCGUGGUCAUGUUAGGCCAAUGAGUGCCUUGGAUCCAGUGAUAGAGCAUGGCGGGGCCUGCUCGGGGUUAGUGCGGAACUGAUCAGCUGCCUAACCUUGGUUUUAAUUAAAAUGUGAUAGUCCAAUUCAAUAAUUCUUUGGAAAGAUUGAAUUUCUCAGUUUAAAUGCUGCAAGGUAUUGUAAAUCAUUCUAUACAAUACCAUGAACUCAUGAACUCAGGUUGAAUCCUCUUAUAUCUUGAACUCGUGAACUUCUGUUAUAUCAUUUCAGAACUAUCAUUGUUUAUUAUUACUUGCUGAGCAUUGUUGCUCACCCUUGCUAUUCCUUUCUAACCAUUUCAGAAAGGCUUAAAGAUGAGAUGAUUGAUUGAGAUUGUGAGUAAGGCUAAUGCUAGGCGAGGAGACAGAGUUGAGGAUCCAGUGGUCGAGGAGUGUUCAGGAAAGUUGAUGAGGUUGGUGCAAGCUGGAAUAGUUG
Molecule: long non-coding RNA, 3142 nt
Filed under: Daucus carota (carrot)
Lineage: Eukaryota; Viridiplantae; Streptophyta; Magnoliopsida; Apiales; Apiaceae
Description: long non-coding RNA (DCAR_LNC001540)
Source: RNAcentral